This 164-nucleotide ribosomal RNA is filed under the name uncultured bacterium. Its description in RNAcentral is "partial 16S rRNA". It matches the Rfam family "Bacterial small subunit ribosomal RNA", at positions 355 to 511 of the family's 1533-position model. The record is from RNAcentral.
UAGGGAAUCUUCCACAAUGGGCGCAAGCCUGAUGGAGCAACACCGCGUGAGUGAAGAAGGGUUUCGGCUCGUAGAGCUCUGUUGUUAAAGAAGAACACGUAUGAGAGUAACUGUUCAUACGUUGACGGUAUUUAACCAGAAAGUCACGGCUAACUACGUGCUAG